RNAcentral lists this ribosomal RNA (369 nucleotides) under uncultured bacterium. Its description in RNAcentral is "bacterial SSU rRNA". It matches the Rfam family "Bacterial small subunit ribosomal RNA", at positions 144 to 507 of the family's 1533-position model. The record is from RNAcentral.
UAACGUAGCGAAAGUUUACGCUAAUACCGCAUAUUCUGUGAGCAGGAAAGCAGGGGAUCGCAAGACCUUGCGCUGAUUGAGCGGCCGAUGUCAGAUUAGCUAGUUGGUGAGGUAAAGGCUCACCAAGGCGACGAUCUGUAGCGGGUCUGAGAGGAUGAUCCGCCACACUGGAACUGAGACACGGUCCAGACUCCUACGGGAGGCAGCAGUGGGGAAUUUUGGACAAUGGGGGCAACCCUGAUCCAGCCAUGCCGCGUGAGUGAAGAAGGCCUUCGGGUUGUAAAGCUCUUUCGGCCGGGAAGAAAUCGCAUGGGUUAAUACCCUGUGCGGAUGACGGUACCGGCAUAAGAAGCACCGGCUAACUACGUG